AUUAGGGUUGGGGACACAACUGCGACCCACAUGAGGCUGAGGUUGGCAAAGGAGGACUGCACGUAUGUGAAAGCUGGGGGACAUUCCCCAGCUCUCAGAGGUGGGCAGAAGGGACGAUGGCACAGGACAGGAUUCGUUUCGUGGCAAAGAGGGAGGUAUGAAUAACCCAGAGGGCAGACACUUGUGAGCCUCUGGUGGGCUGCCCAGAGUGCCUAUCUACAUGCCCAGGAAUCAAGGCUCACAUACAAAGACUAUUGAUGCUUACGGUCAAAUUCACUUCUGCCAAGGAACGGAAACAACCGACAGAGGGGACAUUGCUCUAUCUACGUGAAGCCACAGCGACAAACACGUAGGAUCUGAACAUGAGGAGACAGGAUAAUCUGUGUCUGUGAUGGCACGUCAUGGACACAUCUGCGUAAACAGUUGCAGCCCGUUAAGUGCAGCCAAGGAUGUAGACAGAGCACAACCUCCCCCCUCGCUCAGACAGAACGGCAGGGGCACACUCAGAACUUCCAUAUUCUUCCCUCUCUGAGUCAUGGCCAUGGCAGCUUUUCCUUGUAGGACAAUGGUUGACGACGAGCUUUGUCUGAGACCCAGGCCGUCCUGCCCAUCAGGUUCCCUGUUACGGCUGCUCCCUACACUUCUCCAGCCCGCGCACCCCCACACCCCACUCCCAAGAGGGGUGGGACCAAUGGCAGCAUCAGCAAAUGUCUCUUCUUCAUUCAGGUUUGCUGGGGAGUGUGUUUUCCUGCACCCUUUGGGUGCGUGGAAAGGAAUUGUGUUCAUUUCUCCCUCAGUUCCGAUCAGUUCACAAUCAACAAGUAUUUACUGCAGUAUUUACGCCUCCAAAGUGCUUAGCACGGAGCAGGUAUGGCACGGGUACAGGAAAAGAAAGGCACAGAAGCUCUAUAUUCAAGGCCCUUAGGCUUCACUUAAAAAGAACAACCCAUCAUUAUGCAACAUAAGACAGGUGCGCCACUGAAGAUGUGUGCCAUGUCAAAUAUACAAUCUAGGAUCCACAAGUCCCUCCUCUGGGCUCCCGUAGCUAAUGGUGUGCUUAUUGUAACAGCAUUUACAAUAAGCUGAUUAUGUAUCAGGCAGGUUCUCAUGCAUCAACUAAGUGUCAAAAGAGAUAGCUACUAUUUUUCAAAUAAAGAAAAUGGGCAUAAAAUAGACAUAAGUCAACAGAAGAGAAUAAAAAAAAAAAACCAUAGAAAUAAACCCAUAGGUAGAUGGUCAAUUAAUCUUCAGCAAAGGAGGCAA
Molecule: long non-coding RNA, 1263 nt
Organism: Herpailurus yagouaroundi (jaguarundi)
Lineage: Eukaryota; Metazoa; Chordata; Mammalia; Carnivora; Felidae
Exons: 4
Source: RefSeq, a predicted model, not a curated record